UAAAUGAUGCUGUAAAGAGCAAAUGCCUGGAGUUCCUGUUAUUGAGAGCUGCUCAGCUGCGUGGAAGGGUCUGAUAGGAGCAGCAGCUCUUCUGGUGAUGCUUAUUUUAGCUGGAUCGGGAAUGGGUACCUGAGUGGGAGAGCCAAUGCAGCUGCUCCUAGAGACAAACCUUGAGUCUGAAAGCUCGCUGAUCCCCGUUAAUACAUGGAAAUACAUGGAAAACAAUGCGCAGCAGAUGGCAUAAUCUUUCAUUGCACAUAACACCUUUUAUGCUCCUUUGAUUAUCAAAGGACAUUAUUUGGAUAUCAAAGCAUCAUCAGAGGAUACCUACCACUACUCCUCCCCAAAAAAGGCGAAGCUGAUACUUCAGAAGACUGAGCAGCACAAAGCUUCAAUCAAAUUGGAAAAAAUUAUCAUUCUGCAACCCCAUAUGGAGUGACAACAGGUAUUCAGUGGAAGUACUGUCAGAAUCUAUGUAACUAUAGCCCCAACACACAGAUUCUUAGUGUUAUUUAACUAUCUUGUUGGAAACAACAUUAGUUAACUCUGAGCUACCUUUAAGGAGCUUGGCUUUAAGAACUGUUGCAGUUACCCUAAAACACCUAAGCUCCUGUGACAAGCAGAUUUUACAGCCCUGAGCUAUCCAUCUAGGCUUUCCCAGGAAAGGGGAGUGCUAGACAUCUAUGCAAGAAACAUGUCCGAAAGCUUCCAGCUGAGCACAGAGUGUCUCACACUGGUCAAGAGUGAGAGGUGAAGUGUGAGACAAGGAGUGAAGGCAUCUCAGCUACUGACUCCAUAGAAGAUCUGACAGACCUGAAAUGGCACCUUCCUGCCUGUUCUUGAGCUCUCUUCACAAGCUUGCAUCAGGUUUUGUAAGAAAGGGUAGUUUCCACAGAUUACAGAGAAUCUUGCCUCAGGGGUUCUGAUAUUUCAUCCCCGUAAAGGGCUUUGAGUAGCUUGCUAGUGACUAGGCAGUGUCAGCAGUGCCAACCAGGAGAAGCUUUGCUGCUUAUCAGGACAGUGGCAGCUGAGUAGCUGUUCAGGAAAUGUCAUGGGAGUCUUAAGUGGUAGGACACAGACACCAAAGAGACUGGUGAGUGCUAAAGGACCAUUUAUAAAUGCCUUGCACAAUAACAAUUCCAGAAUAACCUGGAAGUUCAUAAUGCAGUCCAAGCCACCAUCAACUACUAGUUCUGCACUAUUAAAAUUGUCCUGAGUAGGAUUAAGGCCAUUGCCUCUGGCAUGCUUGUGAUUAACCUCCUGUUCAAUUGUACUCUCCAAAGAGUUCCUUCCAGUAUCUGAAGGGGCCUACAAGGAAGAUGGAGAGGGACUUUUCACAGAAAAUAUAAUGAUAAGACAAAGAGUAGUGGGUUCAAGCUGAAAAUGUUCAGCUCAGGUGCUAAUGAUGCAUUUCCUUAUCACUUCUACAAAUCACAUCUUUUUUCCUUUUAAGUGAAGGGUUCUUCAAUCAUCACUGUGGUGAAUAUAAACUCAGAAAAAUAGUUUUCAAGAGUAUAGGUCUGUAUUGUCUGUUGUAUUAAUGUUCCAGCCAACAGACAUUGCACUUUUGCUGCCAUCUUCAUGGACAAUGAAAAUUUGAAUACAAAUAAAUCUCCAAUAUAUAACUAAGAAAAGGCAACAGUCAUAUUUCUAUAAAGAUGAAUCACAUAAUGCACUCCUCUUAUGGACUUCAAACAAAGCAAAUCUAUUUUAUAUUGCAUGGAUUUUGUUUCCUUCUCACAGCAAAAAUAUAAAGCUUUAAGUCUGGGUUAACUCAAACCACCAUUGGUAGAAGACUGCUCUUCCUUCUUUCUCCUUUCUCAAUUUCAAAGUGAUGCAAACAUCCAAGUAACUGCUGAGAGAAAAUUAUUCGAGGCAAAUUAUUUUUCUAAGCUUUAAUAAGACAGAGAGACAAAGAUGUAAAUUACUGCCCUCUUAAAACGUCUUUGCUAAAAAUUGUCUCUCCAAAAAGAGGAGCACAGCAAGGUGUGAAUUUUACCCUGAGUCCAACUGUCACUUGACUGAGGUGUUAAAUGGGAAAGCUGUUAUUUUAAUUAGAAACGAGACUGACUCUCAAAAACAUUACCUCGAAUUAAAGACAAUUAAACCUCAGCUAUGGUUGGAUAAUUUUUCCUUUACUCCUUAUUUUCCCCACUAAUGGAUUGUGCUUGAUUAUCAUUAUAAAAAGGCCCUAAGUGCAUGAAAGUUUAGCUGGAAACAGCCCAAGGUUGUUAAAGAAAAAGCAAACCCUGGUCAGGGGGUGCCCUCCCUGGGGAAGCUGAGGUGAGGAUGUGGGUGGUGAUCCCUCUCUGGACCUGUGCCAGAGGGGAGCUUGGAAAGCUCUCUCAGGACACUGAUCCAGGCUCUGCUGGCUGGCACAGAACAUGAAAGCUGCACUCUAAGCUCUAUGAUGAAAUACUCAGCGCUUUGUAACUUUGCCUUCCCAAAUCCUUUGCUGUAACUAGCCCGAGUUGAUGAGAACUUAAUGUAGACUAUCUCUUGACUGUCGCUGCUAUUUUCAGCAUAUCAGCCUGACUUGCCCCAGGCUGGUUUAACUAAUGCUGAUAAGGACAGUUAGUGCCAAAAAGCUUAGUAGGACAAGUGCCCAUUCUCCUCAUUCCUCACAUCGGGCACAGAUGCCAGUAUAAGCAAUAACAAAAUUUAUUUUGGACAAAAUGUCUGCACAAGUUCGACCUUGCCAUUCACACAGCUCUAGAUAUGGUGCCAGCUUAAAGUGAUCCCAGCUGACUCUCAGUCCUUUCCUUUCCUUGCCUGCCACCCAGCCACUCCCUUUCUUUUAUGAUAGCUGGCAUGCAGGCAGGCAAAUAACCAGGAAAACACUUCAGGGAGCUCAGCUGGUUGAGAACAAAAGGUCUUCAUUUUUGGGCAGCCUGGCUUCUCAAACUGUCUCAUCCACUGGUGUCCUGAGCUCCAGUGCCAGCACAAGAGCACACAUGGGAAUUUGGGGCUUGGGGGAGAGCAGGACUGUGGCACCUCCAAUUUAAAUGACCAGCCUCCAGGUGGUCACUGAACACCAAAAGCCUGCAACAGAAAUGGUCCUGUCCUCCUACCUCAAUUCCCCAGUCCUGGCCAAACACUCCCUCAUGCUGACUCUGGCCUGGAUUACAGAGUAAAGCGAUGGAGUUUGCUGAUCCAUCCCUUUUGCAGAAGAAUAUGCAUCCCAGAAAUAAAUAAAAUUACUUCCUCCUAUAAUUAGAAAUCCAGACCCCAAAGUCCCAAGGGUAAUGUUUUCUCCUUCUCUUUAUUUAUCUUCCCUAUUUUUUUUCCUCUCGCCCUUCUUGAGAGAUGUUGCUAUCCACUUUAGGAACUAUAUGGUCCUUUGGGGAAUUUUGUCUCAGGUAUUGCAAUAGCUGAUGACAGCAGUUCUUCCUGUACAGGACAGAAACAGAAAACAAGCCUGUUUUCCUUGAAUGGCAUGGGCAUGUCCGUGUUAGCUGUGUAACACAAGCAUGGAUGAUUUCCAUUUCACUGCUUCUGUGUGCCAAGACUGUGAGUAACUUCAUUUGGUGCUCUUUCACCCAUCCCCUCAAGAAACUAAACCCAUAGUAAUUUCACUUCAUGGAAGGUCAGGCAGAUAAGGAAUUAUAUACAAUUAAGAGAAGAUGAUAUUGAUUUUACAUUUUAUUUCAAGUUAUCUAUAACUUCAGGUUGAGACUGAUAUAGGGGUAGUAUUGAAGAUUUUGUUUUAAUAUUAAACACAUGAGAUAGAUUUUUUUUUUAUAUUUAACAUAAAACAUAAGAUUCUUGAGCAUGGGACAACAUUCUCCAUAAGAGAGAUGAGACUUUUCCAUUUGCAAAUUGUAUGUGGGUCUGGACUGCAGACCUCUGCUCUGGCAGAUACAGUUUCCUUUUUGACUAGAUUCUGCCUUCAUCCUAAAGCUUUUUUUGGGCUUGAUCCAAAAUACUGGCACUAGUAGAAAUCUGUUCAAAAAGUUUCAAAACUGACCUUUUAUUUUGUGAGUGGUCAUUUUCACAUUCCUCUCUUUCUCCCAUUGUGUUCAGUGUUCCGGGAAGUAUAGGUCACUAAAAAUCUACAGAAUGUCACAUCCCCUAAUAAACCUGCUAGUUUCAUGUCUUUUCAGCUGGACCAGUGUUUGCAGUGGGGGAGCAGAGAUUUUUUUAAAAAAUUUAUUUAAUUUUUAAAAAUUAUUAUUAAACCCUGUACUGUUUAUUUGCUGGAGUGUGAACAAUUUUCAGGAGUGUGAACUUGACUGCAUCAGUGUUGCUUUUGAAACAAGAACAGUGUUGCUCUUGAAACAAGACCAGGAAUAGGUCUGUCUAGGCUAGUCAAAAUGUGGAGCUCAUGCUUUCUAGAUGCAGUACAGUAUUAAUUUUAAUUACUAGCUAGGAUUUAUUUCACAGGAGGGUGAGCAUCUCCAUUCUAAUGACGAAUCAUUUUCUCUUUCUGUAAUGACUGUGAUUGCCUCAUUAUACUUUCCAUGGUAUAUAAUUUCUGUGUUGACACAAGUGGAUGUACAGCAAAAAAACUCACUCAUCCAGUCAGCCUGGGAUACUCAACUCAGAUUACCCUUUAAACUCUGCACAUAUAAAAAACCAGAAGAGUGCAAAAUCUGAAUACCCCUCCUUUGAGGUUCUGAUUCCUUUAACUUCAGAUUACAUGAAUAUUUUCCUCAUAGAAAGAAAAGGCAGUUCUCUUCUGUCAUUAAAUAAAACGCUUGAGACCCACAAAAUUGAAAUUCUAUGCUUUACAGAUAGUAUCCAGCAACUUAUUGGGUAGAUUUGUUUUUAAAAGGAGAUCUAACAAACACUGUGAGUUGUCAUAUCCUUACAAGAUGUAGGUAUUACUUAUCUUCAUGAAAAAUGACAAUGUAUUUGCCCUACUUAUCAAAAAGCUAAUUCUGAGCUGGCAGGUAAAAGCUGUUGCUUUACUCAGAGUAACCAACCAUUUUGAAAGACAUCAGUGCAUGUUCACAUAUAAUUCCAGCAGAAAUGGAGACACUGCCGAUUUCAGCACUAGGGACCCUUUAUUGAAUGAAAUUAUUGAAUGUAGCACCUCCUAUUUAGCUAAGUGCAUCUGAAACGAGCCCUAUAUGAUACCUACUUAAUCCAAUGCUUUUGACAAGGGCAGAAAAAUUUGGUUUUUAAACUCUCACCUCAUACAUAAAGAACAUAAUCAUAUAAAAAUGUAUUUGAACUUUAUUAUGGUCAUCACAGAAAAAUAACGAAUGGUAACACUUUCAAAAUUUGUUUGGAAUGCAAAUCUGGAUUGCACAGCUUUUAUGUAAAUAUUUGGUUUAUGGGGGCAUUUUCCCAAUAGAGACAGAGCUGUGGACACAACAAAAGACAUGGAACUAACACUAUUAACCCUUUACAGGUGUCAGAAGCACACUUAUGUCAAACGCCUUUGCUAUUGCAGCAUGUUGUAACACACGCAUGGCAAUAUAUGAAUGGAAAAU
Long non-coding RNA from Parus major (Great Tit), 5438 nucleotides. RefSeq lists it as uncharacterized. The record is from RefSeq and is a predicted model, not a curated record. The transcript is spliced from 3 exons. Lineage: Eukaryota; Metazoa; Chordata; Aves; Passeriformes; Paridae.